RNAcentral lists this unclassified non-coding RNA (2611 nucleotides) under Sipha flava (yellow sugarcane aphid). Its description in RNAcentral is "aTP-binding cassette sub-family G member 1-like, transcript variant X2". The record is from RNAcentral. Lineage: Eukaryota; Metazoa; Arthropoda; Insecta; Hemiptera; Aphididae.
GGUUGUUGUUGUGAUAAUCUUACACAGAAACGCGGAUAACAUUAUCCAAAUUUUACGGUAUCUGACCAUCGGUCAGUGUAUACUGUAAACUGUGCGUUACAUAAUGCUUCUUCCACCAUUACAUUAAAGACUCUGUGCAUUACAUAUUUACGUACACAAUUCAAAUGCAAGUCCUACCUGUUGAAUAAUCGUGUUUAUUUAUGCUGUAAUUAACUUAAUUGUUUUGCUGACGGAUCGACAGCAUAGCGGUGGCUUCGAUCAAUUAGCUUACGUUGACUGACUUUGGCGUGUGUGGUUUUGAUUGGGUCUCCGAAGCGUUGCGUUAUUAUGCGCAGACGAAAAUCGUUUUGAUAUUUAAUAAUUACAUUGAUUGGUCUUUUCGAAUGUGCACGUUUUCAAGGGCAUCCCGUGUUAUGACCAUUAUGGUGGGGUAGCAUAAUUGAGGUCUAGCACUCAGUCCUCAUGCAAACAGUCUGUACUAAGACCCGUAAAAUCUUUAUAAAUCCGUAGAGAUGGAAGGUAUCAAUGUGGAGUUUACAAACAUAUCUUCAAACGUGAAUAUUUGGGAUUCUAGGGCGAUGAAGACCUUUAGGCCUGAGAAAAAAACCAUUUUAAACAAUGUCAGUGGUUUGUUCCGCAGAAACCAAGUGGGGGCCAUAGUAGGAUGUUCAGGUUCUGGAAAAUCAACCCUUAUGAACAUUUUAUCGGGUUAUAUGUCAAGUGGUUACCAGGGAACUGUAACUUUAAAUGGAGCACAGCGAGAUUUGCUAUCAUUUAGGAAUAUUUCUAGCUAUAUCAUGCAAGAAGAUCAUUUACAAUUGUAUUUGACUGUUCAAGAAUCCAUGGAAAUAGCUAUGAAACUUAAACAUUCAACCAUUAAGUUAGAUAUUCAAAAUAAAAUCUCUAUUAACAAUUUAUUACAUAAUUUACUUUUACAUGAAAAACGAGAUACUUUAGUUUAUAAUUUAUCUGGUGGUGAAUGUCGACGAUUGACCAUGGCUUUAGAAUUAGUUCGCAGCCCAAAAGUUAUGUUUUUUGAUGAACCUACCACAGGUCUAGAUAUUGUGUCUGCAAACAAUGUUGUUAAAAUUAUGCGAAAAUUGGCAGACUCUGGAAAAACCAUAAUAUGCACUAUUCAUCAAGCUUCAGCUUAUCACUUGACUACUUUUGACACUGUUUAUGUUCUUACUCCUUCUGGUCAAUGUAUGUACAAUGGAGAAUCAUCGCAAAUAGUUGACUAUUUUUCACAUCUUGGAUUUCAAUGUCCAAUUUAUCACAAUCCUGCUGAUUUUGUGAUUGAAUUAAGUUUGGGUGAAUAUGGAAAUUCUAUAGAUACUCUGAUUAAGCUUGUUAUUGAUCAAAACCUGAUUAGUAAAGACAUAACUGAUAAGAGUAUUAACAAUGUACCUAUAAUAUAUAGUCGAGAAUAUUCAUCAAAAUAUUUUUCUGAACUUUGGAUACUUAUGCAUAGAACUUUGCUCACUACUUUUAGGGAUCAUUUUCUAGUCAAGGUAAGACUUUUUGUUCAUUUCUUGCUGGGUAGCAUGUUUGGAAUUGUUUACAUUGGACUUGGGAAAAGCGCUAUGCAUGUUCGAGAUAAUGCAGUGUUACUAUUUUUCUGUGUGAUGUUUAUGACAUAUGUUGCUGCAUUUACCAUGUCUAUAAAAUUUCCAUUGGAAUUAUCGGUAAUGCGAAAAGAGUAUUUCAACCGAUGGUAUUCAUUAAGUUUAUACUACAUAUCUGUGACACUUGUAGAUCUACCAGUUCAAAUAUUCUGUACGUUCCUAUUUUGUUCACUGAUAUACUUGUUAUCUGGCCAGCCUUUUGAACUCUUUAGAAUCUCAAUGUUUCUAUUGAUAUUCAUUGUGACUGGACUUAUGUCACAAGCAAUUGGAAUGUUAGUCAGUACUUUGUGUAAGAGUUUUGUUAUCAACACAGUUAUAGUUGCUUUGAUAUUAAUGUUUUGGACUACUUAUGCUGGUGGUAUGAUAAGAAUAUCAGAUACGCCUAAAAUAUAUCGGUGGUUAUAUGAUAUUUCAUUUAUGAAACAUUCUGUGCAAGGUGUACUACAUUCAAUAUAUGGUUUUGAUCGCACUGUGUUGCCUUGUCCGGUUGUUAGAAGUUUGGGGGAAAGAAGUAAGAACUUAAACGCAUAAGUAUUGAUUUUAAUUUCAUAUUAGACAUCACAUCAUAUGAUGAUGUGAGACAUGGGUAAUAAAUGAUACUGAAAAAAAUCUAGAAGUUUUUGAGCUGUGAUGCUGGAAAUAUAUGGAAAGGCUAAACUGGAUAGAAUGGAAAAUAAAUUAAAUACUUAGAUUGUGGAAUUUUCUUCCACAUACAUUCAUAGAUACAAUUAGAGUAAAACAUUGGAAAUUAGUUAAUCAUUGCCCUAAUAUACUCAAAAGAACUAUUUAAUAUAGUAUUAGAGGAUAUGAUAGAAGAUAAAAAAACAGCUGGAUGAACUUGGAACUCUUAUGUAGGACAAAUUAAAUGUGAUGACCUUUAAGGAGCUUAAAGAAAAGAUGUUUUGUCAGUAUGGUUCACCGAAAGUAAUGCUUAAAACUAUUGAUAUGUACGAAAAUUUGUAUUGGAUAAAUGUCAGCUUUAUCAC